This 550-nucleotide ribosomal RNA is filed under the name uncultured Glomeromycotina. RNAcentral's name for it is "SSU rRNA". It matches the Rfam family "Eukaryotic small subunit ribosomal RNA", at positions 548 to 1098 of the family's 1831-position model. Lineage: Eukaryota; Fungi; Glomeromycota. The record is from RNAcentral.
UUGGAGGGCAAGUCUGGUGCCAGCAGCCGCGGUAAUUCCAGCUCCAAUAGCGUAUAUUAAAGUUGUUGCAGUUAAAAAGCUUGUAGUUGAAUUUCGGGAUCAAUAUAUCGGUCGUGCCUUCGGUAUGUACUGGUAUUAUUGGUUUCUCCUUUCUGACAAACUAUGAUGUCAUUAAUUUGGUGUCAUGGGGAAUCAGGACUGUUACUUUGAAAAAAUUAGAGUGUUUAAAGCAGGCACACGCUUGAAUACAUUAGCAUGGAAUAAUGAAAUAGGACGUUUGACCCUAUUUUGUUGGUUUCUAGGAUCGACGUAAUGAUUAAUAGGGAUAGUUGGGGGCAUUAGUAUUCAAUUGUCAGAGGUGAAAUUCUUGGAUUUAUUGAAGACUAACUACUGCGAAAGCAUUUGCCAAGGAUGUUUUCAUUAAUCAAGAACGAAAGUUAGGGGAUCGAAGACGAUCAGAUACCGUCGUAGUCUUAACCAUAAACUAUGCCGACUAGGGAUCGGAUGAUGUUAAUUUUUUAAUGACUCAUUCGGCGCCUUACCGGGAAAC